AUUGAACGCUGGCGGCAUGCUUUACACAUGCAAGUCGAACGGUAACAGGCCUUCGGGUGCUGACGAGUGGCGAACGGGUGAGUAAUGCAUCGGAACGUGCCCAGAGGUGGGGGAUAACGCAGCGAAAGCUGUGCUAAUACCGCAUGUGAUCUGAGGAUGAAAGCGGGGGACCAGGCAGCAAUGUUUGGCCUCGCGCCUUUGGAGCGGCCGAUGUCAGAUUAGGUAGUUGGUGGGGUAAAGGCCUACCAAGCCGACGAUCUGUAGCUGGUCUGAGAGGACGACCAGCCACACUGGGACUGAGACACGGCCCAGACUCCUACGGGAGGCAGCAGUGGGGAAUUUUGGACAAUGGGCGCAAGCCUGAUCCAGCAAUGCUGCGUGCGGGAAGAAGGCCUUCGGGUUGUAAACCGCUUUUGUACGGAACGAAAAGGCUCUGGCUAAUACCUGGGGCUGAUGACGGUACCGUAAGAAUAAGCACCGGCUAACUACGUG
RNAcentral lists this ribosomal RNA (492 nucleotides) under uncultured bacterium. Its description in RNAcentral is "partial 16S ribosomal RNA". It matches the Rfam family "Bacterial small subunit ribosomal RNA", at positions 30 to 507 of the family's 1533-position model. The record is from RNAcentral.